Molecule: ribosomal RNA, 490 nt
Filed under: uncultured bacterium
Lineage: Bacteria
Description: partial 16S ribosomal RNA
Rfam family: Bacterial small subunit ribosomal RNA
Source: RNAcentral
AUUGAACGCUGGCGGCAGGCCUUACACAUGCAAGUCGAACGGUAACAGGAACCACCUUGCUGUUUCGCUGACGAGUCGCGUACGUGAUAGUUCUGUCCGGGCCCCUGCCUGAUGGAUGGGUCUACCUACUGCAAACUGUUGCUACUUCCGCCUAGCGUCUCAAAGCCAAAGAUCUGCAGCCCUCGCGCUCUUGCCACCGCAUGUGCCCAGUUGGGAUUAGCUUGUUGGUGGGGUAACGGCUCACCAAGGCGACGAUCCCUAGCUGGUCUGAGAGGAUGACCAGCCACACUGGAACUGAGACACGGUGCAGACUCCUACGGGAGGCAGCAGUGGGGAAUAUUGCACAAUGGGCGCAAGCCUGAUGCAGCCAUGCCGCGUGUAUGAAGAAGGCCUUCGGGUUGUAAAGUACUUUCGGCGGGGAGGAAAAGAAUAGAGCUAAUACCUUGGCUCAUUGACGUUACCCGCAGAAGAAGCACCGGCUAACUACGUG